RNAcentral lists this ribosomal RNA (122 nucleotides) under Pteropus alecto (black flying fox). The record is from RNAcentral. Lineage: Eukaryota; Metazoa; Chordata; Mammalia; Chiroptera; Pteropodidae.
GUCUACGGCCGUGCCACCCUGAGCAAGCCUGAUCCCAUCUGAUCUCGGAAGCUAAGCAGGGUCGGGCCUGGUUAGUACUUGGAUUAGACACCACCUAGGAAAACCAGGUGUGGCUGUAGGUG